RNAcentral lists this ribosomal RNA (49 nucleotides) under Phaseolus lunatus (lima bean). Its description in RNAcentral is "partial large subunit ribosomal RNA". The record is from RNAcentral. Lineage: Eukaryota; Viridiplantae; Streptophyta; Magnoliopsida; Fabales; Fabaceae.
GUGCAAACCGAGUGUGCCAUCUACGAGACCUCAGGUCAGGCGGGGCUAC